UACGUAGGGUGCAAGCGUUGUCCGGAAUUAUUGGGCGUAAAGAGCUCGUAGGCGGUUCGUCGCGUCGGCUGUGAAAACCUGAGGCUCAACCUCAGGCCUGCAGUCGAUACGGGCGGACUUGAGUACUGCAGGGGAGACUGGAAUUCCUGGUGUAGCGGUGAAAUGCGCAGAUAUCAGGAGGAACACCAGUGGCGAAGGCGAGUCUCUGGACAUUUCCUGACGCUGAGGCACGAAAGCCAGGGGAGCAAACGGG
Molecule: ribosomal RNA, 253 nt
Filed under: uncultured bacterium
Lineage: Bacteria
Description: partial 16S ribosomal RNA
Rfam family: Bacterial small subunit ribosomal RNA
Source: RNAcentral